This 445-nucleotide ribosomal RNA is filed under the name uncultured bacterium. Its description in RNAcentral is "partial 16S ribosomal RNA". It matches the Rfam family "Bacterial small subunit ribosomal RNA", at positions 354 to 796 of the family's 1533-position model. The record is from RNAcentral.
GUGAGGAAUAUUGGUCAAUGGGCGAGAGCCUGAACCAGCCAAGUAGCGUGAGGGAUGACUGCCCUAUGGGUUGUAAACCUCUUUUGCAGGGGGGUAAAGUGGUUCACGUGUGGACCAUUGCAAGUACCCUGCGAAUAAGGAUCGGCUAACUCCGUGCCAGCAGCCGCGGUAAUACGGAGGAUCCGAGCGUUAUCCGGAUUUAUUGGUUUUAAAGGUAGCGUAGGCGGGGGUUUAAGUCAUCUGUGAAAUGCCGUGGCCCAACCAUGGAACUGCAGUUGAAACUGGACCUCUUGAGAGUACAUAAGGAAGGCGGAAUUCGUGGUGUAGCGGUGAAAUGCAUAGAUAUCACGAAGAACUCCGAUUGCGAAGGCAGCUUUCCGGGGUACAUCUGACGCUGAAGCUCGAAAGUGCGGGAAUCAAACAGGAUUAGAAACCCCUGUAGUCC